AAUCAAGUCUAGGUUGAGUUGCUAUGUACGCAACUCUAUUUCCUAUUUCACUAGCUUCAGAAUUCCUCCCUUUUUCUUCUUCAUGGAGUUUGCCAGCAGCAUUGCGGAUGACGUCUUGGGUAGGCUAGCUUCACAUGCUUCCCAACAGAUCUCCUUGGCAUGGGGUGCCCAACUUAAGCUCAGCAAGCUCAACAACACCUUAUCUGCCAUCAAAUUAGUGCUCGAGGAUGCAGAGAAGAAGCAAGUGAGAAAUCCCCUAAUCACUCGUUGGUUAGGAAAUCUCAAAGAUGUUUGUCAUGACGUUGAUGAUGUCUUGGACGAACUGGACUUCCAAAAGCUGCGGUUGAAAGUGGAGGUCGACAACUGUGGGAAGAUCAAAGGAAAGGUACGCCAAUUUUUUUCCCGAUGGAAUACAGUAGUGUUUAACUUCAAAAUAGGACAUAAAGUGAAAGAGAUUAGAGAAAGACUAGUUGAAAUUGAUAAUGAACACAGACAGUUUGCUCUCCUUGAGUUUGCUAAGAUAGCUGAAGAUCCUCGUGCGCCCCAUCAAGUGCACGAUGACAGGAGGAUGACUACCUCUAAAGUUGAGGCUUCAAAUGUUAUUGGAAGAGAUGAUGAUAAAAAACAGAUUAUCAAGCAUCUCUUGAAUGACACUGAUUUCUCCAGUGAGGAGAAUGUUUCUGUUGUUUCCAUAAUUGGGUUAGGAGGGUUGGGGAAAACAACACUUGCUAAAUUGGUGUACAAUGAUAGCAUGGUAGAAGAAAAUUUUGAGACAAAGAUGUGGAUAUGCGUCUCAAACAACUUUGAUAUUCAAACAUUAAUUCGAGGUAUUACUAAUGCUGCAAAUGGACCAAAAUGUGAGGAUGAAAGUUUGGAUCUUUUGGAAAGAAAAUUGCAAGAUACUCUUAGAGGUAAAAAAAUUUUAUUGGUGUUGGACGAUAUUUGGGAUACAGAGUCGAUUGGAGUAACAAUUGAAAAAUGGAUUGAUUUAAAAACUUUGUUAAAUGUGGGAGCUAAUGGAAGCAAAAUCAUUAUAACAACAAGAAAUAAAUCAGUCGCUUUACUUGUGAGUCCCUUAUACAUGCAUUCUUUAAAAAGUCUUUCCCACAAAGAUUGCAUGUCCUUGUUCAUCCAAAGGGCAUUUAAAAAAGGAGAGGAGCAGUGCUAUCAACAUUUGAUAGAAAUUGGAGAGGAUAUUGUGAAGAAGUGUGGUGGUGUUCCUUUAGCGGUAACUACUGUAGGGAGCAUGCUCUAUUUGAAUAGAGAGCAACACCAUUGGUUGCGUGUCAGAGAUGAUGACAUGUGGAGUAUAGGGAAUGACAAUAUUUUACCUGCACUCAAAUUGAGCUAUGAUGCACUGCCACAACACUUGAAACCGUGUUUUGCAUUUUGUUCACUUUUCCCAAAGGAUUAUGAAUUCGACAGUGGCUUCUUGGUUCCAUUGUGGAUAGCACAAGGAUACCUCAAAACAUGUAAGAAAAAUGAAGAUUUUGAACAUAUGGGUAUAGAGUAUAUAAGACAGUUUUGCUCUAGAUCUUUGUUUCAAGUUGAGAUAGAUGUCAAAACAUUUAUAAGUUUUAAAAUACAUGAUCUAGUUCAUGAUUUAGCAAUUUCAGUGGCACAAGUAGAGUACUCCACAAUCAAUUUCCGUCCCUCUAGUGCUUUGGAAAUGGUUCGACAUGUGUCAAUAUCCAAAAAAGACUUGCUUAGAGAAGAGGCAGUUUCCUAUUUCAUGCUCAAGUCAAAGAAAUUGCGAACCAUUCUAGUUCUUGAAGAUGCCCAGAUAGAUCAAUGUUUUGUGAAAACAUGCAUCUCGAGAUUUAAAUAUAUGCGGGUGCUAAAUCUCUGGGGGUCGCCUCUAGAGGAGCUACCAAGUUCUAUUGGUAGUUUGUUUCAUUUGAGAUUCCUCAACUUGUCUGGUAAUAGUGAGAUAAAAAGGCUUCCCAAUUCCAUCAGUAAGCUGCUGAAUUUGGAGACCUUGCACCUUCACAAGUGCGACGCACUUGAGGAGAUACCCAAAGACAUAGGCAACCUGAUCAACCUACGAAGCUUGACGAUAACAACGCAACAGACGUAUUUGCCCAAAGGAAUUAGACGCCUCACCUUACUUCAAUCUUUACAUUUUCAUGGAUGUGUCAAUCUUGAAUCUUUGGGCGAAGAGAUCCAAUUCCUCAACAACCUUCGCACUUUGUGGAUUAGCAGGUGUAAUAAUUUGGAAUCCUUGCCACCAAAUAUGAAACAUAUGACCGCUUUAGAUACUUUGCUUAUCGAUGAUUGCGAGAAGCUUCAGGUGAUGAUGAGAUCAGGGAAAGGUCCCCAACGUCUUCGAUCAUUGAUUAUCGCGGAUUCAAGUUUGGAGGCUUUGCCCCCUUGGCUCAUUGAACAUUCUGCAGACACUCUACAGAGCAUAUAUCUUUCUGAAUGUCAUAAUCUCACGGCACUUCCGGAGUUGAUAAACUUCCGAUUCCUCGAGCAACUACACACUGAAAAAUGCUCCAAAUUGUCGGCUUUGCCGCAAGGGUUGCAUUGCCUUACUGAGUUGAGAGGAUUGAAGAUUGGAGGGUGUCCUGAAUUGAGCAAAAGCUGCAAAAGGCAAUUAAAAGGUGAGGAGUGGUCAAAGAUGGCAUGUCAGGUGAAGAUUACACUCGACGCUGAUGAUGAAGAAGAUGAAGCCGACAAUCGCUUGGCCGACGGUAGGAUCGCGUACCUCACAACGCGCCACCCGCGACGACGGCGUUAGUCACCUCAAUUCGUCGUCUCCAGACAUCUUUCCAAUGCCUAUUGAACAAGCAAGGAGGAAAACUAGCUGCUUGGUAGUACCCGUUUACCCGUUUGUUCCAAUCAGGGUACUUCAAAAUGAAGAAGUCCUGCACUGCUGUAUUGUUCGAGCUUGGAGUAGCUUGGAUUGGUCAAAGAUGGCACGUCAGGCGAAGAUUACACGACUCUUAUGUGGAUACUGAUGAUGAAGAAGAUGAAGAUGAAGGUACACCAAUGAUCGACUGAAGAUGAAGAAGAUGAAGGCACACCAAUGAUGAAGAAGAUGAAGCUGAAGGUACACCAAUGAUGGACUGAAGAUGAAGAAGAUGAAGGCACACCAAUGAUGAAGAAGAUGAAGCUGAAGGUCAAGGAGUCCGCCUCCAAUCCCUCGCGUACCUCCCACCGCGCCACCCGCGACGACGCCGCGAUAUGGAGUAUUGAAUUGCUGCAAUUUGUGAGAAUUUUGGUGAUUUGUGUGCUGAUUGGUGAUUGCUUGGUGAAGCUGGAAUAGGGGAGGGAGCACUUAGAGGCGUAGAGUAUCCCUGCUGGGUUUGGAAUCAGGUCAGUGGAAGAAGAGGGCUGCUAUCUAUAAGGUGUACACUGUGGAGGGGAAGCUGAAAGGGACUCUCAGGAAGAGCUUCAGGUGGCUCAAGGAGACCUGUGAUAGAGUGGUCUACAGCCGCUUGCAUUGGGUGAGUUUUUUGGGGUACAGCAGCUGACUACAUUGUAACUACUGGGUUUUCGAAAGCAUUUGAGUUGAAUUAGGAUUUACCUGAUUCCAGGAAAGAGAUCCAUCUACUGAUUUCAGAGAUGCUGGAUUUAUUCUUUGGAGAACCUCCUUUUUUUAGCAAAUACAUUUUCGACAUCUUUCCAAUGCCUAUUGAACAAGCGAGGAAAACUAGCUGCUUGGGAAUAUAUCCAUUUGUUCCAAUCAGGGUGCUUCAAAAUGAAGAAGUCCUGCGCUGCUGUAUUGUUCGAGCUUGGAUUGGUCAAAGAUGGCACGUCAGGUGAAGAUUACACUCGACUCUUAUGUGGAUACUGAUGAUUAAGAAGACGAAGAUGAAGGUAGACCAAUGAUCGACUGAGAGAUGAAGAAGAUGAAGGCACACAAUGAUGAAGAAGAUGAAGCUGAAGGUCAAGAAGGAGCUUUCAAUGACAAUACCAAAUCAACUGAUACUUAGGCUUUCCAGCAAAAGCAUGACUGCCGCCAUUGGAGGUGCUUCAAAGUGAAAAAGUCCUGCACUGCUGUAUUGUUUAUUUGUUUUAUGCUUGGAUCAUGUUCGAGCUUGGAAUUAGAGAGAUGUUGAUGAACUCAAAAGUGAUGUGUGAUAAAGCAAUGAGAUUGUUUGAGUAGCUUCAUUUGUGA
Rosa rugosa (rugosa rose) is the source of this 4123-nucleotide RNA transcript. It is a transcript of the gene named putative disease resistance protein RGA3, with no coding region annotated. Lineage: Eukaryota; Viridiplantae; Streptophyta; Magnoliopsida; Rosales; Rosaceae. The record is from RefSeq and is a predicted model, not a curated record. The transcript is spliced from 8 exons.